This 600-nucleotide ribosomal RNA is filed under the name uncultured soil bacterium S052. RNAcentral describes it as "bacterial SSU rRNA". It matches the Rfam family "Bacterial small subunit ribosomal RNA", at positions 46 to 685 of the family's 1533-position model. The record is from RNAcentral.
GCUAACAAUAGCAAGUCGAACGGGAUUAUAGCAAUAUAAUUCAGUGGCGAACGGGUGAGUAAUACUUAUCUUACCUACCGUUUAGUGGGGGAUGAAAUACCGCAUGUUCUGGCUUCGGCCAGCAAAGGAAGUCGCUAGGCUUUCGCUAAAUGAUGGGGAUAAGGCGUAUCAGUUAGUUGGUGGGGUAAUGGCCUACCAAGGCAAUGACGCGUAGUCGGGCUGAGAGGCUGACCGGCCACAAGGGAACUGAGACAAGGUCCCUACUCCUACGGGAGGCAGCAUUGGGGAAUCGAUGGCAAUGAGGGAAACCUUGACCACGCAAUGCUACGUGAAGGAAGAAGGUCUACGGAUUGUAAACUUCUUUACUAGAGAGUACUUCCGCAAGGUUUGCUCUUUGGCAAAAAGUCACGACUAACUACGUGCCAGCAGUCGCGGUAAGACGUAGGUGGCGAACGUUAUCCGGAAUCAUUGGGCGUAAAGGGUGCGUAGAUGGCAAGAUAAGUUAGCGGUGGUAAAUCGAGGCUCAACCUCGUGGAAGCCGGUAAUACUGUUUUGCUUGAGUGCAGGAGAGGUUAACGGAACUCCAUGUGGAGCGGUAAA